UGGUGUCAGAGCCAAUCUACUGCCUGCUAGGGCACCAUCGUCUGGGCCAGAGAUGAGGGUUCGAUACCUGAAGCUGGGUCUGGUAGCUGUCUGUCUGCUUACAUGUGGCUGGUGGCCUCCCUUCUGGACCAGGAGUCCAGCCAGAAUGACUCUCAGGAGAAGCCCAGGAUCCGCUAAAGGACCUGCCACUGCCCCAGGGACUCUAAGAAAGUGUAUCUGUUCAUCUGGGGCCCACGGAGUGCUCUACCUGCCUCCACAUUCCGGGAGAGUCUGUUUGGUUUGACGAACGCUUUGAAAUGCACAUUGAGCCCCUGAUGAGGUCAGAAGCGCCCAUGUCCUCUGAUGCUUUGCUAUUGUGGUUGGUCAGUGCACAAUCUCGGUCUCUGUCCAGUCCCCAUGCCCAACCCCAGGCCCCGGCCAUCUCUCCUUUCAAGGCCUCAGGCUCUAACCUUCUUCUACAGAUGGUUGGGAGACUAGGGUAAACCCCUAAAUUUCUUCCUGUGGUCCUAUGAACUUUAGGAUAUCAAGUCAGAGAAGGAGUUUGGGAAUCAAAACCAGCAGUCAAUUAAAGAAACUUUCACACACCCACUGGACUGUGUGGGGUGCCAGACCUGUGCAGUGGUUGGAAACUCAAAAGUUCCUAUGGGGCUCUGGCCUCGGCUUCAAGAUUGACCAACAUGAUACGGUCCUCAGGUGGGUGCAGGGUAAAAGGUGGAGACUAGGAAAGUCAGGCCAAAUCCUCCUCUUCCCUCAGAUGUCCAUCCUGCCCUCCUUUCCAGGCCCCUGUCCAAGGCUUUGAGACAGACGUGGGGAACAUGACCACUGUGCACAUUACAUACCCCGAGAUAGACAGCCCUCAGGAUCCUGGCGCCCAGCUGCUGCUGCUUCCUCUGAAUUCAUCUGGUCUGAAGUGGGUUAUGGAGGUACUGCAGAAAGAGGGCAUCACGAGGAAGCCAAAAAAUCCUGGGCAUGGUGGGGUGCGGCAUUGUAAGGGGUGACAGUGGGAACUCCAGAGAGACCCUUGCUAGAUAUCAGGGCACCACUCUAAGCUUGGGGGCUGCUGUGUCAAAUGACUCUGAAACUCCCCCACCUCCAAUCAUUUUUUAGUCCAGGUCCCUGGUGGAAGUAAAGAGAGCAAAGACAAGGUCUCAGUGAUCAGCCUCAGCUUCCUCCAGUAUGUCCAGCAGAGAUGGCUGGGAAAAAACGAUCACUUUCCAUCCUUGGGGUUCAUAGCUCUGUUGUACGCCUUGCACGCCUGUGACCAGGUAUCCUUAUUUGGUUUGUGGACAGACCGGCUCAGCAGGUGGUCCCAUUACUGGGAUGAAGAAUAUUGGUUCAAGAGCAACAUGCACAGUUUUAAAGAAGAGCAACAGGUCAUUCCUAAGCUGCAGUUUGAGGGGAAGGUUGUUAUUUACAACUGAGAUGGUCCUCAGCCUAUUCAGCCCACUGGAGGCCCCAGGAGGCUGACAGGUAGUCAGGGGGACCUUGGAGUGUCAGAGAGGGACUGGGGUUUCAAACACACCCUGGAUGAAGGUCACUCUGCUACUGAAUAAAACCCUACAUUGUGGCAUUAAAUGGCUACAUCCUCUUCUAGAUUCUCAACAGAGAACAUUUCAUUGUUACUCAUAUAUAUAUUUACCUGACCAAAAAAUAAAAUUAAACGAAAAAGAGGAAAAAGCAAACACUAAAGUUGAAAACACAUCAAAUGGACCUAACUGUAUAUCAGAUUGAUAACAUAACCACCAGGGAAAGAAGUAGUUCAAGUUCCUUUAGAAUUCAAUAUACUGUGUAUUCUCUGUAGAAUAGAUUCUGUGGACAAAAAGAACCACAAAGAAAUUUUCAA
Molecule: RNA transcript, 1843 nt
Organism: Orcinus orca (killer whale)
Lineage: Eukaryota; Metazoa; Chordata; Mammalia; Artiodactyla; Delphinidae
Gene name: CMP-N-acetylneuraminate-beta-galactosamide-alpha-2,3-sialyltransferase 2-like
Exons: 3
Source: RefSeq, a predicted model, not a curated record